This is a long non-coding RNA of Zingiber officinale, 926 nucleotides long. RefSeq lists it as uncharacterized. Lineage: Eukaryota; Viridiplantae; Streptophyta; Magnoliopsida; Zingiberales; Zingiberaceae. The transcript is spliced from 3 exons. The record is from RefSeq and is a predicted model, not a curated record.
UUUCCUUCUUUACUUCGGCAGACUUUGUGGUGGUAGUCAUGUCCAAGGAAUUGGUUAGGUCAGCAGCUGUAUAGCAAGAAGAGCGCAUGCUAUCCGCAAAGCUUCAUCAGAUGGCAAUGCUGGAUUCAUGAUUGAUAUAUUAAAGAGUGUGGAUUAUCUCACAAAUCAAUAAUUUUUGUCUUGGAUGAGUUUGAUCUUUUUGCUCAGGUACGUGUAGUAACUUUUAGCCACUUAUAGAAUUCUGUGCAAGUACUUCUUUACUUGUUUGUGUUCCCUUGUCAAUCCUCCUUUGUUGUUCCAUUUUUAUCUCAUUAUGCAAUGGCCUUUGCCUUAUUCUAAAUCUUUGAGCUUUUUGAUACAUGUGUAUGCAGGGGAAACAACGUUUGCUUUAUAGUUUGCUUGAUGCAAUGCAAACAAUGACUUCACAGGCUGUAGUUAUUGGUGUUAGCUACCGAUCGGUAUGUAGUCUCCACAUCUUUCACUUUUUUUUACAUUCAUAUUCAUGUCAAUAUACACUGGGCCACCCACAUUUUUUAAUCUCUUUUAAAAAAGACAAGUAAAAGGAAAAAUAAGGAAACAUUAAAGUUAAGAAAGUGGAAGGAAACUAAACAAUUGUUUUUAUGUAUAUUAUUAUUCUUAUUAUUCCACUUUUUGACUCCUUAAUUUUUCUUCCAAGCAUUGCUGGUUAUACUUGAUAAAGCCUCAUGUCUUUCAGGAUGCAGAUUAACUUCUUGAAAAAAGAGUUCAGUGUAGGUUUUGUCCGAGUCUCAAGCCGACAAUCCUUUUUGAUCAGUAUAUCUAGUAGAAGUAAGCAUGCAGAUCGUUGUCUUCAAGGCCGGCUAGCUAUUUUGUGCUUUUUUUGUUUUAAAUUCAAAUGUCACUAUCUACUUUGAAACAGAACUAUUUUGUAUUUGUGUAUAGUUGAA